UUAUGACAAUCUCAUGACAAAUAAUACUUACAGAAACAUUUUCUGCUGAGUUGACCGGCAUCUCAUCCACACUGUGAUUGCCAUUUGUAAUGUCACAGAUGCAGUAGUUGCUAACAGAAGGAGGUCUGAAUGUGUGGCCACCAUCACAAUGAAUUUCUGGACUGAUUCCACAGCCGAAUGUGAAUGAGGCAAGAGAAUGAUAGUGUGUGAGUAAAACUACUGCAUGUACCAAUUCCGCAAGGGACCAGCUGUGCUCUUCAGCUUUUAAAAGUCCCUUAGGGGGAAAAAAAAAGAAUAUAUUUUUGUACUGGGGUGUGGUAAAAGUAUACAGUUUAUUUUAGUAUUUAAUUUAUUGAAAACAUGAGUCAUCGUACAAAGCCUAGCAUAAAAUUAUCAUUUGAAACAUGUAGAACCCAGAAUUUGCUAAUUUUUAUGAAUAUGCAUUCACAAAUAGAACUUAACAUAAUCUGUUAAGACAUUCACUAUUAUUUUGAUUUUCUGAAAUAUUGACUUAAAAUGUAAGAGAAUGCAUUUUGCUUAAAAGUGGCUGCUGUAUUUCAGAUGCUGGAUUAUGAAUGAAUUACUGUGUUGUUAGUUCAAAAUCUCAAAGCAAAUGCAAUAAAUUUGUGUUUAAAAGUAGAA
This 642-nucleotide non-coding RNA is filed under the name Pan troglodytes (chimpanzee). Lineage: Eukaryota; Metazoa; Chordata; Mammalia; Primates; Hominidae. The record is from RNAcentral.